GAAUUAAAUUAACUUAGUGGCGGACGGGCGAGUAACACGUGAGCAACCUGCCUCUUACAGGGGAAUAACAAACGGGAAACCGUUGCUAAUACCGCAUAACAUGUUGAAAGGGCAUCCUUUUAAACAUCAAAGGAGCAAUCCGGUAAGAGAUGGGCUCGCGUCCGAUUAGCUAGUUGGUAGGUAACGGCCCUACCCAAGGCGACGAUCGGUAGCCGGACUGAGAGGUCGAACGGCCGCAUUGGGACUGAGACACGGCCCAGACUCCUACGGGAGGCAGCAGUGGGGAAUAUUGGGCAAUGGGCGAAAGCCUGACCCAGCAACGCCGCGUGAGUGAUGAAGGCCUUCGGGUUGUAAAACUCUUUGGACAGGGACGAAGAAAGUGACGGUACCUGUAGAACAAGCCACGGCUAACUACGUGCCAGCAGCCGCGGUAAU
This 435-nucleotide ribosomal RNA is filed under the name uncultured Oscillospiraceae bacterium. Its description in RNAcentral is "bacterial SSU rRNA". It matches the Rfam family "Bacterial small subunit ribosomal RNA", at positions 79 to 524 of the family's 1533-position model. The record is from RNAcentral. Lineage: Bacteria; Bacillati; Bacillota; Clostridia; Eubacteriales; Oscillospiraceae.